GAUGAACGCUGGCUGUGUGCGUAAUACAUGCAUGUCGAGCGAAGCACUUUUGUGCUUAGCGGCGAAUGGGUGAGUAACACGUACUUAACCUACCCUCAAGAUUGGGACAACACUUGGAAACGAGUGCUAAUACCAAAUACGUAUUUUUAUCGCAUGAUAGAUAUAUAAAAGGAGCUUCGGCUUCACUAGAGGAUGGGAGUGCGCUACAUUAGUUAGUUGGUAGGGUAAUGGCCUACCAAGACUAUGAUGUAUAGCGGGGCCGAGAGGCUGAUCCGCCACACUGGGACUGAGAUACGGCCCAGACUCCUACGGGAGGCAGCAGUAGGGAAUUUUCCACAAUGAACGAAAGUUUGAUGGAGCGACACAGCGUGCAGGAUGAAGGUCUUCGGAUUGUAAACUGCUAUUAUAAGAGAAGAAAAACCCUGGUAGGUAAUGACCAGGACUUGACGGUACCUUAUCGGAAAGCGACGGCUAACUAUGUGCCAGCAGCCGCGGUAAUACAUAGGUCGCAAGCGUUAUCCGGAAUUAUUGGGCGUAAAGAGUUCGUAGGUGGUUUUGUAAGUCUGAAGUUAAAUACCGGGGCUCAACCCCGGCCCGCUUUGGAUACUGCAAAACUAGAGUAAUAGAGAGGUUAGUGGAACUCCAAGUGAAGCGGUGGAAUGCGUAGAUAUUUGGAAGAACACCAAUGGCGAAGGCAACUAACUGGAUAUUAACUGACACUGAGGAACGAAAGCGUGGGUAGCAAACAGG
Molecule: ribosomal RNA, 750 nt
Filed under: uncultured bacterium
Lineage: Bacteria
Description: bacterial SSU rRNA
Rfam family: Bacterial small subunit ribosomal RNA
Source: RNAcentral